GUAGGGGGCCAGCGUUGUUCGGAAUUACUGGGUGUAAAGGGUUCGUAGGCGGUGCGGCAAGUUGGGAGUGAAAUCUCUGGGCUUAACCCAGAGGCUGCUUCCAAAACUGCUGUGCUUGAGUGUGGGAGAGGCGCGUGGAAUUGCAGGUGUAGCGGUGAAAUGCGUAGAUAUCUGCAGGAACACCCGUGGCGAAAGCGGCGCGCUGGACCACAACUGACGCUGAGGAACGAAAGCUAGGGGAGCAAACAGGAUUAGAUACCCUGGUAGUCCUAGCCCUAAACGAUCAGGACUUGGGGUGCCGCCCGUUCGGGCGUCGUCCCGGAACUAACGCGUUAAGUCCUGCACCUGGGGAGUACGGUCGCAAGACUG
RNAcentral lists this ribosomal RNA (369 nucleotides) under uncultured bacterium. RNAcentral describes it as "bacterial SSU rRNA". It matches the Rfam family "Bacterial small subunit ribosomal RNA", at positions 527 to 896 of the family's 1533-position model. The record is from RNAcentral.